CAUCGGCAUCAACGAGUGGCCUCCAUGUUGAAUGUAAACAAAAAGCUACUUGCCAUCUCUGCGCUAUCGUCAUCGUGUAAAGCCUACCUCAACGGUUGUGAUUGGUGCCUCGAUUUG
This is a long non-coding RNA of Etheostoma cragini (Arkansas darter), 117 nucleotides long. RefSeq lists it as uncharacterized. The record is from RefSeq and is a predicted model, not a curated record. The transcript is spliced from 3 exons. Lineage: Eukaryota; Metazoa; Chordata; Actinopteri; Perciformes; Percidae.